UGACCUCGGAUCAGGUAGGGAUACCCGCUGAACUUAAGC
Molecule: ribosomal RNA, 39 nt
Filed under: Aspergillus flavus
Lineage: Eukaryota; Fungi; Ascomycota; Eurotiomycetes; Eurotiales; Aspergillaceae
Also listed under: 7 other names
Description: partial 28S ribosomal RNA
Source: RNAcentral